Molecule: non-coding RNA, 225 nt
Organism: Phascolarctos cinereus (koala)
Lineage: Eukaryota; Metazoa; Chordata; Mammalia; Diprotodontia; Phascolarctidae
Source: RefSeq, a predicted model, not a curated record
CCUUGAUCUCAGAAGAGUGAAAAGGUGGAAGGUAAGAAGAGUAGGAGUCUGGCUGGGACAUUACAGAGUGGAACCUAGGAGAAUCUGUGUCUGAUACUGCUAUAGCUGCAGAGCUUAGGACAAAGAGGCCAAUAUUUCAGGCUGUGUGGAGCAAAUAUUAGUAGAGGUCUUAGGGAAAGAGAUAGACAUGAGUCAUACAGAAUGAGAAGGCAUGGAGGGACUGCC